AAUCAAGUGCCUUAAGGGUGUUCGGUGGAUGCCUUGGCGCUGAGAGGCGAUGAAGGACGUGCUACGCUGCGAUAAGCCGUGGGGAGCUGCGAAGAAGCUUUGAUCCACGGAUUUCCGAAUGGGGAAACCCACCUUCGAUAGCUGGAACUCCAAGAUCUCGUAUCUUGGGGUUUGGACAGCAAUGUUUGAGAACCAAGCCGUGAGGUUUUGGAUUUCCAGUUAUCAAGUGAAGGUAUGAAAUCUCUGAAUUCAUAGGAGGUUUUAAGCGAACCCAGGGAACUGAAACAUCUAAGUACCUGGAGGAAAGGACAUCAAUCGAGACUCCGUUAGUAGUGGCG
Molecule: ribosomal RNA, 338 nt
Filed under: Bradyrhizobium sp. Ishi 7/2
Lineage: Bacteria; Pseudomonadati; Pseudomonadota; Alphaproteobacteria; Hyphomicrobiales; Nitrobacteraceae
Description: partial 23S ribosomal RNA
Rfam family: Bacterial large subunit ribosomal RNA
Source: RNAcentral